RNAcentral lists this transfer RNA (85 nucleotides) under Gymnospermium kiangnanense. Its description in RNAcentral is "tRNA-Ile". It matches the Rfam family "tRNA". Rfam says of the family: Transfer RNA (tRNA) molecules are approximately 80 nucleotides in length. Their secondary structure includes four short double-helical elements and three loops (D, anti-codon, and T loops). Further hydrogen bonds mediate the characteristic L-shaped molecular structure. tRNAs have two regions of fundamental functional importance: the anti-codon, which is responsible for specific mRNA codon recognition, and the 3' end, to which the tRNAs corresponding amino acid is attached (by aminoacyl-tRNA synthetases). tRNAs cope with the degeneracy of the genetic code in two manners: having more than one tRNA (with a specific anti-codon) for a particular amino acid; and 'wobble' base-pairing, i.e. permitting non-standard base-pairing at the 3rd anti-codon position. RNAcentral also lists the same sequence under 1 other name. The record is from RNAcentral. Lineage: Eukaryota; Viridiplantae; Streptophyta; Magnoliopsida; Ranunculales; Berberidaceae.
GGGCUAUUAGCUCAGUGGUAGAGCGCGCCCCUGAUAAUUGCGUCGUUGUGGGGCGAGGUCUCUGGUUCAAGUCCAGGAUGGCCCA